CUACGUGCCAGCAGCCGCGGUAAUACGUAGGUCCCGAGCGCUGUCCGGAUUUAUUGGGCGUAAAGCGAGCGCAGGCGGUUUGAUAAGUCUGAAGUUAAAGGCUGUGGCUCAACCAUAGUUCGCUUUGGAAACUGUCAAACUUGAGUGCAGAAAGGGAGAGUGGAAUUCCAUGUGUAGCGGUGAAAUGCGUAGAUAUAUGGAGGAACACCGGUGGCGAAAGCGGCUCUCUGGUCUGUAACUGACGCUGAGGCUCGAAAGCGUGGGGAGCGAACAGGAUUAGAUACCCUGGUAGUCCACGCCGUAAACGAUGAGUGCUAGGUGUUGGAUCCUUUCCGGGAUUCAGUGCCGCAGCUAACGCAUUAAGCACUCCGCCUGGGGAGUACGACCGCAAGGUUGAAACUCAAAGGAAUUGACGGGGGCCCGCACAAGCGGUGGAGCAUGUGGUUUAAUUCGAAGCAACGCGAAGAACCUUACCAGGUCUUGACAUCCCGAUGCUAUUUCUAGAGAUAGAAAGUUA
This 517-nucleotide ribosomal RNA is filed under the name uncultured bacterium. Its description in RNAcentral is "bacterial SSU rRNA". It matches the Rfam family "Bacterial small subunit ribosomal RNA", at positions 501 to 1016 of the family's 1533-position model. The record is from RNAcentral.